RNAcentral lists this ribosomal RNA (273 nucleotides) under Triticum aestivum (bread wheat). RNAcentral describes it as "partial small subunit ribosomal RNA". The record is from RNAcentral. Lineage: Eukaryota; Viridiplantae; Streptophyta; Magnoliopsida; Poales; Poaceae.
AUGAUCUCCAAUGAGAUGAAGGAUGAAGGCUUUGAUGUCAAGUGCGAGAACGAUGCAACGAUCUUGCUGGAAGGCUGUGAGGAUGGGUAUGUAGUUGCCCACUACAAGGAGCCAAGGCAGAUGAUGUAUUGCAGAAAACAAAGCGACAAACUUUUGCUCUCAGACAGUGAACUAUCAUGUUUCCUCUAUUUAAUUAGUUACAUUAGUUUAUUUAUAGGAAACUUGGCUGGCCAUUCGUUCAUAACUAUUGAACUAUUUAUAUGUGAAAAUUAA